This 200-nucleotide ribosomal RNA is filed under the name uncultured bacterium. RNAcentral's name for it is "partial 16S ribosomal RNA". It matches the Rfam family "Bacterial small subunit ribosomal RNA", at positions 30 to 229 of the family's 1533-position model. The record is from RNAcentral.
AUUGAACGCUGGCGGAAUGCUUUACACAUGCAAGUCGAACGGCAGCACGGGUGCUUGCACCUGGUGGCGAGUGGCGAACGGGUGAGUAAUACAUCGGAACGUACCCAGUUGUGGGGGAUAACUAACCGAAAGGUUAGCUAAUACCGCAUACGCCCUGAGGGGGAAAGCGGGGGACCGUAAGGCCUCGCGCGGCAGGACGA